CGUAGGGUGCGAGCGUUGUCCGGAAUUAUUGGGCGUAAAGAGCUUGUAGGCGGCUUGUCGCGUCUGCUGUGAAAGCCCGGGGCUUAACCCCGGGUCUGCAGUGGGUACGGGCAGGCUAGAGUGUGGUAGGGGAGACUGGAAUUCCUGGUGUAGCGGUGGAAUGCGCAGAUAUCAGGAGGAACACCGAUGGCGAAGGCAGGUCUCUGGGCCAUUACUGACGCUGAGAAGCGAAAGCGUGGGGAGCGAACAGGAUU
Molecule: ribosomal RNA, 254 nt
Filed under: uncultured bacterium
Lineage: Bacteria
Description: partial 16S ribosomal RNA
Rfam family: Bacterial small subunit ribosomal RNA
Source: RNAcentral